GACGAACGCUGGCGGCGUGCUUAACACAUGCAAGUCGAACGGAAAGGCCCUGCUUUUGUGGGGUGCUCGAGUGGCGAACGGGUGAGUAACACGUGAGUAACCUGCCCUUGACUUUGGGAUAACUUCAGGAAACUGGGGCUAAUACCGGAUAGGAGCUCCCGUUGCAUGGUGGGGGUUGGAAAGUUUCGGCGGUAGGGGAUGGACUCGCGGCUUAUCAGCUUGUUGGUGGGGUAGUGGCUUACCAAGGCUUUGACGGGUAGCCGGCCUGAGAGGGUGACCGGCCACAUUGGGACUGAGAUACGGACCAGACUCCUACGGGAGGCAGCAGUGGGGAAUAUUGCACAAUGGGCGGAAGCCUGAUGCAGCAACGCCGCGUGCGGGAUGACGGCCUGCGGGUUGUAAACCGCUUUCGCCUGUGACGAAGCGUGAGUGACGGUAAUGGGUAAAGAAGCACCGGCUAACUACGUG
Molecule: ribosomal RNA, 468 nt
Filed under: uncultured bacterium
Lineage: Bacteria
Description: partial 16S ribosomal RNA
Rfam family: Bacterial small subunit ribosomal RNA
Source: RNAcentral